This 591-nucleotide ribosomal RNA is filed under the name uncultured bacterium. RNAcentral describes it as "bacterial SSU rRNA". It matches the Rfam family "Bacterial small subunit ribosomal RNA", at positions 248 to 859 of the family's 1533-position model. The record is from RNAcentral.
GUUGGUGAGGUAAUGGCUCACCAAGGCUAUGACUGGUAUCCGAACUGAGAGGAUGAUCAGUCGCAUUGGAACUGAGACACGGUCCAGACUCCUACGGGAGGCAGCAGUGGGGAAUAUUGCACAAUGGGGGGAAGUCUGAUGCAGCAACGCCGCGUGGAGGAUGACACAUUUCGGGUUGUAAAACUCCUUGAUUAUGAGAAGAUAAGACGGUUAUCAUAUGACAAGCACCGGCUAACUCCGGCCAGCAGCCCGCGGUAAUACGGAGGGGCCAAGCGUUUCUGGAAAUCACUGGGGUAAAAGAGGGGUUGGGGGGGAGGCAAAUUUGGAAGGGAAUUCCGUUGGUUUAAUGAGGGGGUGCAUUUGAAAAUGUUUAUCUUGGAAUAUGGAGGAGAAAGUGGAAUUCUCAGGGGUAGGGGUAAAAUCGUAGGGGAUCGGAGGGACUCCAGAUUGGAAGGCGGCUUUACUACGCAUUAUUGAGGUGAGGACGGAAAAGGUGGGUAGCCAACCAGGAUAGAUUCCCUGGUAGUUCCACCCCUAAACGAAGAACAUAUAGGUGGGAGGGAUUGAGACUUCAGUAAUGCAGUUAACACA